RNAcentral lists this ribosomal RNA (492 nucleotides) under uncultured bacterium. Its description in RNAcentral is "partial 16S ribosomal RNA". It matches the Rfam family "Bacterial small subunit ribosomal RNA", at positions 29 to 507 of the family's 1533-position model. The record is from RNAcentral.
AGUGAACGCUGGCGGUAGGCCUAACACAUGCAAGUCGAACGGCAGCACAGGAAGAUCUUGCUCUUACGGGUGGCGAGUGGCGGGCGGGUGAGGAGUACGUCGGAAGCUACUUUUUCGGGGGGAAUAACGUAGGAAAACUUAUGCUAAUACAUAAAAAGACUUACGACAGGAAUCAAGGGAGCUUGAGACCUUGGCAGAACGAAAGAAUCGCUGUCGGAUGGGUUAGUUGGCGGGGGAAAGGCCCACCAAGGCGACGAUCCGUAGCUGGUCUGAGAGGAUGUCCAGCCCCACUGGACCUGGGACCCGGUCCAGCUUCCUCCGGGAGCAGCCAGUGGGGAAUUUUGGACAAUGGGCGCAAGCCUGCCCCGCCCCUCCCCCGUGGGUGAAGAAGUCUUUCGGGUUGUAAAGCCCUUUUGUUGGGAAAGACAAGCAGCAGGUUAAUACCCUGCUGUUCUGACGGUACCCACCGAAUAAGCACCGGCUAACUUCGUG